GAAUUGGAAUGAUAUUGAGAAUGAAACAGUUUGGCAUUUGUUAUUCCCAUUAUCCCCUGCCCCCAAGUUUAUAUUGUGGAAAUGGAAAGAACAGAUUUGCCUUCUGUUUAUAAAGUAUUGUCACUAAGAAUACUAUAUAUUAGUGAUUUUUUAAAAGCCCUCUUGAUGGGAUUUAGUCAUUAAGAAGAUGCAUGUGGGAACACUAGCAUUAAAACAAUGUUGAGCCUGGGGAUAUUACAGUUCAGUGGUAGAGCCUAGCAUGUAUGAGGGCAGUUUGAUCCCAGCAGCACAAAAAAAAACCAUUAAAUAUUAGAGUUGGGCAUAGAGGCACAUGCCUAUAAUCCCAGUUAUUUCCAGAGGCUGAGCCAGGAGCACUAGAAUGGGCACUCAGUGGAGAGUGGCCCUGGGUUCAAUCCCUAGUACUGCUGCUGCUGUCAACCCUACUCUCCUGCAAAAAUUUUAGUGUUAGAAUUGCCUGUUUUGAAGAAUAUGUCUGCAGUUAGGCAAGUAAAUUAUUUUCCUAUAAGAGAAAGGAUGGAAUUGACAAUUAUACAGUAGGAAUUUUCUUGCCCAUGAGGCUAGCAAGGGAGGCUACAGAAAGAAGUUCAUUAGUAGGUGUGUUGCAAAUUGGAUUUGAGUAUCAAUCUGAAAAAUGUUAGCUCUGGUGUCCCUUUACUAAUUUCUGAAAGGUGCUUUGAAGCCACUAAUAAUCCAAAAUUCACUUCAUAAAAGAGGAGGGCUAAACAUGUUUUAAUAAUAGGAAUAGACUAUGGCAUUUGUCAAAAGGAAACCUACAUCCUUUAAAUGGACUAGAGAAGCCUUAGGCUGAAUAUCUUACAUUCUUCAUAGCAGUGGCAUGCCUAGAAAUUUAAGUUACAAAAAAUACUGAAAGUGACAUCCACAUCUUAAGAAUAGAAAUGUAAAGUACUGAUUAGUAGUACAUCAAAUAUGCUUCAACAACAAAAACCAAAAAUGGUUCCUUUGCCCUCUAAAAUCAGGCAGUAAACUAUAGUGAGGUGACAGUCAAUACUACCAUUGCAGUUAUGACAGGUCAAACUGGAGGUUUUGUUUGCUUGCCAGAUGGUUUUUCAGAAUUUGCUGUUUGGGUUUGCUUCUCUUCUCCACUAGCAUUCUUGUCUGCAUACCCAAAUUUGUCACUGAAGUAUUUUAGUACUGAAGCUAGUAUCUGAUUUGAGUCUUCAUACUGUCUUUGCAGUCUUGACUUUCAUAAACAUUAUCACUCCCCUAUUAUGAAUCAAUGAUGAAUUUAUAUUCUGCCUUUCCAAUGUAUCACUAUUCUUAAAUCACAUCUUCAGUGGUAAAUAAUGUACUGAUCCUAUCUGGUUUUGCUUCUGUGGUCUGGUUAUAUUUUCAGACCCCCACUUCCCUCCCUUAG
This 1396-nucleotide long non-coding RNA is filed under the name Marmota monax (woodchuck). Lineage: Eukaryota; Metazoa; Chordata; Mammalia; Rodentia; Sciuridae. The record is from RNAcentral.